Molecule: ribosomal RNA, 514 nt
Filed under: uncultured beta proteobacterium
Lineage: Bacteria; Pseudomonadati; Pseudomonadota; Betaproteobacteria
Description: bacterial SSU rRNA
Rfam family: Bacterial small subunit ribosomal RNA
Source: RNAcentral
UCCUACGGGAGGCAGCAGUGGGGAAUUUUGGACAAUGGGCGCAAGCCUGAUCCAGCCAUGCCGCGUGCAGGAUGAAGGCCUUCGGGUUGUAAACUGCUUUUGUACGGAACGAAAAGACUCUGGUUAAUACCUGGGGUCCAUGACGGUACCGUAAGAAUAAGCACCGGCUAACUACGUGCCAGCAGCCGCGGUAAUACGUAGGGUGCGAGCGUUAAUCGGAAUUACUGGGCGUAAAGCGUGCGCAGGCGGUUAUAUAAGACAGAUGUGAAAUCCCCGGGCUCAACCUGGGAACUGCAUUUGUGACUGUAUAGCUAGAGUACGGCAGAGGGGGAUGGAAUUCCGCGUGUAGCAGUGAAAUGCGUAGAUAUGCGGAGGAACACCGAUGGCGAAGGCAAUCCCCUGGGCCUGUACUGACGCUCAUGCACGAAAGCGUGGGGAGCAAACAGGAUUAGAUACCCUGGUAGUCCACGCCCUAAACGAUGUCAACUGGUUGUAGGGUAUUCACUGACUCAGU